Molecule: ribosomal RNA, 418 nt
Filed under: uncultured bacterium
Lineage: Bacteria
Description: bacterial SSU rRNA
Rfam family: Bacterial small subunit ribosomal RNA
Source: RNAcentral
GGAAUAUUGGACAAUGGCCGCAAGGCUGAUCCAGCCAUCCCGCGUGCAGGAUGACGGCCCUCAGGGUUGUAAACUGCUUUUAGGUGAGAAGAAACCCCUGGCUGAGGCUGGGGCUGACGGUAUCACCUGAAUAAGCCCCGGCUAACUCCGUGCCAGCAGCCGCGGUAAUACGGAGGGUGCAAGCGUUAUCCGGAAUUACUGGGUUUAAAGGGUGCGUAGGCGGCCAAGUAAGUCUUGGGUGAAAUCUUCCGGCUCAACCGGGAAAUUGCCUAAGAUACUGCUGGGCUUGAAUACGGUUGAGGUGGGCGGAAUGUGGCAUGUAGCGGUGAAAUGCAUAGAUAUGCCAUAGAACACCAAUUGCGAAGGCAGCUCACUGGACCGUGAUUGACGCUGAGGCACGAAAGCGUGGGGAGCGAAC